GACGAACGCUGGCGGUAUGCUUAACACAUGCAAGUCGAACGAGACGAGAUGGAAGGAUCCUUCGGGUGACGGAAAUCUUAGAAAGUGGCGAACGGGUGAGUAACGCGUGGGUAACCUGCCCUAUGGAAAGGAAUAGCCUCGGGAAACUGGGAGUAAUGCCUUAUAAGAUACAUUUGUCGCAUGGCAGAAGUAUUAAACGCUCCGGUGCCAUAGGAUGGACCCGCGUCCCAUUAGCUAGUUGGUGAGAUAACAGCCCACCAAGGCGACGAUGGGUAACCGGUCUGAGAGGGCGAACGGUCACACUGGAACUGAGACACGGUCCAGACUCCUACGGGAGGCAGCAGUGGGGAAUAUUGCGCAAUGGGGGCAACCCUGACGCAGCAAUACCGCGUGAGUGAAGAAGGUUUUCGGAUCGUAAAGCUCUGUUAUUGGGGAAGAAAAAGACGGUACCCAAGAAGAAAGUCCCGGCUAACUACGUGCCAGCAGCCGCCGUAA
RNAcentral lists this ribosomal RNA (495 nucleotides) under uncultured bacterium. RNAcentral's name for it is "partial 16S ribosomal RNA". It matches the Rfam family "Bacterial small subunit ribosomal RNA", at positions 28 to 523 of the family's 1533-position model. The record is from RNAcentral.